ACGACGCUGGCGGCGUGGAUAAGACAUGCAAGUCGUGCGACAGACCAGGAAUUGAUUACUUCGGUUUGAUUUUCCUGACGAUGAGCGGCGAACGGGUGCGUAACACGUGAGAAAUCUGCCCUUAAGUUCGGGAUAGCCCUACGAAAGUAGAAUUAAUACCGGAUGUGGCCCAGGGAGGGCAUCUUCCCUUGGCUAAAGCUCGGUUAUAGAGCGCUUUUGGAUGGUCUCGCGGUCUAUCAGCUUGUUGGUGAGGUAACGGCUCACCAAGGCUCUGACGGAUAGCUGGUCUGAGAGGAUGAUCAGUCACACUGGAACUGAGAUACGGUCCAGACACCUACGGGUGGCAGCAGUCGAGAAUCAUUCACAAUGGGCGCAAGCCUGAUGGUGCGACGCCGCGUGGGGGAUGAAGGGCUUCGGUUCGUAAACCCCUGUCAUCUGUGAGUAAGGCUCCCAAUAAAAGCUUGGGAGAUUGAUAUUAGCAGAAGAGGAAGGGACGGCUAACUCAGUGCCAGCAGCCGCGGUAAUACUGAGGUCCCAAGCGUUGUUCGGAUUUACUGGGCGUAAAGGGUGCGUAGGCGGCUAGAAAAGUUUGGUGUGAAAUCUCCGGGCUCAACCCGGAAACUGCAUUGAAAACUAGAUAGCUAGAGGAUCGGAGAGGAGAUUGGAAUUCUCAGUGUAGCAGUGAAAUGCGUAGAUAUUGAGAGGAACACCAGUUGCGAAGGCGGAUCUCUGGACGGUUUCUGACGCUGAGGCACGAAAGCUGGGGUAGCGAAGAGGAUUAGAUACCCUCGUAGUCCCAGCCGUAAACGGUGCGCACUUGCUGUGGGCGGAUUCGACCCCGUCCGUGGCGAAGCUAACGCGUUAAGUGCGCCGCCUGGGGAGUACGGUCGCAAGAU
RNAcentral lists this ribosomal RNA (896 nucleotides) under Verrucomicrobia bacterium SCGC AAA240-N22. Its description in RNAcentral is "SSU rRNA". It matches the Rfam family "Bacterial small subunit ribosomal RNA", at positions 29 to 894 of the family's 1533-position model. Lineage: Bacteria; Pseudomonadati; Verrucomicrobiota. The record is from RNAcentral.